AAUGAAAGACCCCUGUCCCUUAGCCCUUUCUUUCUCAAGUUUGUCUCCUCUUCCUCCUGUCGGCGGCUUCCCCGAUCCCCACCCCCGGUGGCCUUUCCCCGCCCGGCCCGAGAACAAGCACCGGGUGGGGCCGGCCCGAGAAUGAGCACCAGGUGGGGCCGGCCCGAGAAUGAGCACCAGGUGGGGCCGGCCCGAGAAUGAGCACCAGGUGGGCCAGCCCGAGAACGAGCACCGGGUGGGCCGGCACGAGGGCGAGCACCAGGUGGGUCAGCACGAGAACAAACACCGAGUGAGCCGGCCUGGAGCCCUGCCCCUGAGCCCCCGCCCCGCCCGAAGAGAAACACUCCGUCCCAAGGUCUCCGCCCCCAAGGUCAGCCAUCAGGAAGGGGGGG
RNAcentral lists this long non-coding RNA (392 nucleotides) under Cricetulus griseus (Chinese hamster). Its description in RNAcentral is "lncRNA (ENSCGRG00015035407.1)". The record is from RNAcentral. Lineage: Eukaryota; Metazoa; Chordata; Mammalia; Rodentia; Cricetidae.